This 421-nucleotide ribosomal RNA is filed under the name Fusobacteriota bacterium. Its description in RNAcentral is "Fusobacteria bacterium partial 16S ribosomal RNA". It matches the Rfam family "Bacterial small subunit ribosomal RNA", at positions 355 to 776 of the family's 1533-position model. The record is from RNAcentral. Lineage: Bacteria; Fusobacteriati; Fusobacteriota.
UGGGGAAUAUUGCACAAUGGACGGAAGUUUGAUGCAGCGACGCCGCGUGGAGGGUGUAGGCCUUCGGGUUGUGAACUCCUUUUUCUCGCGAAAAAGGCACAGUUUUGGCUGUGUUGAUGGUAGUGGGGGAAGAAGCGCCGGCUAACUACGUGCCAGCAGCCGCGGUAAUACGUAGGGCGCGAGCGUUGUCCGGAUUUAUUGGGCGUAAAGAGCUCGUAGGUGGUUCGUCGCGUCUGUCGUGAAAGCCAGCAGCUUAACUGUUGGUCUGCGGUGGGUACGGGCGGGCUUGAGUGCGGUAGGGGUGACUGGAAUUCCUGGUGUAGCGGUGGAAUGCGCAGAUAUCAGGAGGAACACCGAUGGCGAAGGCAGGUCACUGGGCCGUUACUGACACUGAGUAGCGAAAGCGUGGGGAGCGAACAGG